The sequence is a ribosomal RNA, 634 nucleotides long. It matches the Rfam family "Bacterial small subunit ribosomal RNA", at positions 128 to 749 of the family's 1533-position model.
GCCCCUUAGACUGGGAUAACUCCGGGAAACCGGAGCUAAUACGGGAUAAUAAAGAGAAUCACCUGAUUUUCUUUUGAAAGACGGUUUCGGCUGUCACUAAGGGAUGGGCCUGCGGCGCAUUAGCUAGUUGGUAAGGUAACGGCUUACCAAGGCGACGAUGCGUAGCCGACCUGAGAGGGUGAUCGGCCACACUGGGACUGAGACACGGCCCAGACUCCUACGGGAGGCAGCAGUAGGGAAUCUUCCGCAAUGGACGAAAGUCUGACGGAGCAACGCCGCGUGAGUGAGGAAGGCCUUCGGGUCGUAAAGCUCUGUUGUGAGGGAAGAACAAGUACCGGGGUAACUACCGGUACCUUGACGGUACCUCACCAGAAAGCCACGGCUAACUACGUGCCAGCAGCCGCGGUAAUACGUAGGUGGCAAGCGUUGUCCGGAAUUAUUGGGCGUAAAGCGCGCGCAGGCGGCUUCUUAAGUCUGAUGUGAAAUCUCGGGGCUCAACCCCGAGCGGCCAUUGGAAACUGGGAAGCUUGAGUGCAGAAGAGGAGAGUGGAAUUCCACGUGUAGCGGUGAAAUGCGUAGAUAUGUGGAGGAACACCAGUGGCGAAGGCGACUCUCUGGUCUGUAACUGACGCGA